Molecule: long non-coding RNA, 201 nt
Filed under: Brassica napus (rape)
Lineage: Eukaryota; Viridiplantae; Streptophyta; Magnoliopsida; Brassicales; Brassicaceae
Description: long non-coding RNA (BNAP_LNC014030)
Source: RNAcentral
CGCAUCUCCUCAUAUGGAUAUAUAAUACGUAGCGUCGCUAGUACAGUCUGUCUCUGUACCCAUGCCCUCUCAAGUAGCGUCCAUGGUACAAACGUCUCUGCACCACACGCCCGCACCAAUAGUAUCGCCAGUCCAGACGUCUCUGAACCCCUGCCCGCACAAUCAAAGUAGCGUUGCUAGCCCAUACAUCUCUGAGCCCCC